UACAGGGGGUGCAAGCGUUGCUCGGAAUUAUUGGGCGUAAAGCGCGCGUAGGCGGCUACUUAAGUCGGAUGUGAAAGCCCUUGGCUCAACUGAGGAAGUGCACCCGAAACUGAGUGGCUUGAGUACUAAAGAGGGUCGCGGAAUUCCCGGUGUAGAGGUGAAAUUCGUAGAUAUCGGGAGGAACACCGGUGGCGAAGGCGGCGACCUGGGUAGAUACUGACGCUGAGGCGCGAAAGCGUGGGGAGCAAACAGG
This 253-nucleotide ribosomal RNA is filed under the name uncultured bacterium. RNAcentral's name for it is "partial 16S ribosomal RNA". It matches the Rfam family "Bacterial small subunit ribosomal RNA", at positions 524 to 776 of the family's 1533-position model. The record is from RNAcentral.